This 148-nucleotide non-coding RNA is filed under the name Papio anubis (olive baboon). Lineage: Eukaryota; Metazoa; Chordata; Mammalia; Primates; Cercopithecidae. The record is from Rfam by way of RNAcentral.
GCCGGGUGUAGUGGUGUGCACCUGUAAUCCCAACUACUUGGGAGGCUGAGGCAGGAGAAUUGCUUGAACCUGGGAGGAGGAGGUUGCAGUAAGCUGAGAUCACGCCACUGCACUCCAGCCUGGGUGACACAGCGAGACUCUGCCUCAA